This 916-nucleotide long non-coding RNA is filed under the name Solanum tuberosum (potato). RNAcentral describes it as "long non-coding RNA (STUB_LNC009943)". The record is from RNAcentral. Lineage: Eukaryota; Viridiplantae; Streptophyta; Magnoliopsida; Solanales; Solanaceae.
CUCACUCUCCUUAUCAGACUUACCAAUUCUCACUCUCCUUAUCAGACUUAUCAUUCUCAUCACCCUCCUGAUCAGAUCCAGCACUGUUGGACGGACAUGGAGGAAGAAUAUUUCCUGAUUCAAAAAGAAAAGUUAGUUGGGCCUGAAGCGCUGCAUACCUCUUGUUCUCUACCUCCUUUGCUGCCGCAAUCUCCUCCUCUCUCUUCCUCACUCUUUCUUCUCUCUUUUGGCUACACUAGCAAGCUCGGCAUUGAGAUAAGCUACCGUACUCUCCAUUGUGAAUAUUGUCUCUCUAUACCCGCCAUCAAAGCUUGAGGAUGAUGAACCACAAUACCAAGACUUCUUCUUCUGAUACGCCUUUUCUGGAUAGCCGUAGACUGAACCUCUAAUCGGUUCACUAGCACUCUGUUUCCAAAGAUUCUCGUUUUCUUCUUGUGUAAAUGGUCUGUCCUGAUUCUCAAGAGGUAGAGUACUACGAUAUUCCUGAGAUAUUCGUAUAUACCUAUCCUGUAAUUUAAACAAAGAACUCUACAAAUAUAGUGUCACUUUCAACCUCAACAUGACUAGUCCAAACUGUAAACCCUGGUUUGAAUCCAUUCAUCAUAAGAUGCAUAGCAUAACAACAGUCUCUGUUGUAUGAUAUCUCACAUUUUCACAAUAUACACACGGACACCUAAUCAAUCUUGAAGUUAAAAAUCAUCAAGUGUCUUUGCAUGAUUUAUAAAUCUAGUGACACCUUCUGCGAAUUCUGGAUUCAUACCCGCUCGACCAGGAUUGUUUCUAUUAUACAUCCAACUACGAUCAGGAUCCAUCUACACAAACAAUAAUGAUAAUUUUAAUUCCAACAGCUAAAUAACAUUUGAACUUAUUUAAACAACUUAACAACUUUCUAAGUCUAACUAGUUUUGACAUAUUU